This 783-nucleotide ribosomal RNA is filed under the name Aeromonas jandaei. RNAcentral's name for it is "partial 23S ribosomal RNA". It matches the Rfam family "Bacterial large subunit ribosomal RNA", at positions 760 to 1545 of the family's 2925-position model. The record is from RNAcentral. Lineage: Bacteria; Pseudomonadati; Pseudomonadota; Gammaproteobacteria; Aeromonadales; Aeromonadaceae.
CAUCAACUGGAGGACCGAACCCACUAACGUUGCAAAGUUAGGGGAUGACCUGUGGCUGGGGGUGAAAGGCCAAUCAAACUCGGAGAUAGCUGGUUCUCCCCGAAAGCUAUUUAGGUAGCGCCUCGGACGAAUACUACUGGGGGUAGAGCACUGUUUGGGCUAGGGGGUCAUCCCGACUUACCAACCCCAUGCAAACUCCGAAUACCAGUAAGUACUAUCCGGGAGACACACGGCGGGUGCUAACGUCCGUCGUGAAGAGGGAAACAACCCAGACCGCCGGCUAAGGUCCCAAAGUUCUGGUUAAGUGGGAAACGAUGUGGGAAGGCUCAGACAGCUAGGAUGUUGGCUUAGAAGCAGCCAUCAUUUAAAGAAAGCGUAAUAGCUCACUAGUCGAGUCGGCCUGCGCGGAAGAUGUAACGGGGCUCAAACCAGGCACCGAAGCCGCGGAUUCACACUUAUGUGUGAGUGGUAGGGGAGCGUUCUGUAAGUCUGCGAAGGUGUAUCGAGAGGUAUGCUGGAGAUAUCAGAAGUGCGAAUGCUGACGUAAGUAACGAUAAAGGGGGUGAAAAGCCUCCUCGCCGGAAGACCAAGGGUUCCUGUCCAACGUUAAUCGGGGCAGGGUGAGUCGACCCCUAAGGCGAGGCCGAAAGGCGUAGUCGAUGGGAAGCAGGUUAAUAUUCCUGCACGACUUGUAAUUGCGAUGGGGGGACGGAGAAGGCUAGGUGGGCCAGGCGACGGUUGUCCUGGUGAAAGUGCGUAGGCGGUACCUUUAGGUAAAUCCGG